UUCGGAAUUGACUGUAAAAUAUAGUUAUAAAUGUAUAUUACACUAAGUAUACCUACAAGAUCUCUCUUUAGCACCACUGUGAAAUUCCUUAAUUUCUGAUUAAUUUGUGUUUGCUGGAGAUAUACCGCAAAGCUUUUUAAUGUUUGUAGUUUUCUUCUUUUAAAUAGAAUUCGAUUUAAAUUAACCCUGUCACAUAUUCUUGUUCUAGACCCC
This 213-nucleotide long non-coding RNA is filed under the name Mytilus galloprovincialis (Mediterranean mussel). Lineage: Eukaryota; Metazoa; Mollusca; Bivalvia; Mytilida; Mytilidae. The record is from RNAcentral.